GUGAGGGGGAGAUGGGGAGAGACAGCCCUUGUCCGCUCUCUGCUCUUUCUGCUCUUUGGGCAUAAAUAGCACCAGGCUGAGUGAGUGUAUUUUGCAGCUAGCCCAUCCUGCAACUCCUGCUUCCCUCCCAGAUUUCAGCUCUCAGUGGCAUCAGUCGGCUUUUCAGUUGACAUGUGGAAUGGUCCAUCAUCUGCCGUAUAGAAAAUGCAGCCAGUCCCAGGGAUGUACUUUGGGAUUUUUUUUUUUUUUUUUUUAACAGAGACUCUUAAAAGUGGGACUUGGGAAGGACUAGGAACCGUGAGGACGUGGGUUGGAUCCCUGGCCUGGCUCAGUGGGUUAAUGAUCUGGCGUUGCUGUGGCUGUGGUGUAGGCUGACAGCAGUAGCUCCGAUUAGACCCCUAGUCUGGGAACCUCCAUAUGCCACGGGUGUGGCCCGAAAAAAAAAAAGCAAAAACAAAACCAAAAAAAAAGUAGAACUUGGAAGACAGAAGGAGCCACGUGACUAGGGCCUUGUUUCAUUUCUGAGCUGUUUUGAGGGAACUCUUGAAACUUCCUUUCUUUAGGGGAACCACCUGGCCACUGUGGGGAAAUCAUUGUGAAUAAAUGAUUUAUAGGGAAACCUCAUCAGAGCUGCAGAGAUUUCUCAGGUCCUUUGCAACCUUGGACUCUAAAGACAACCGUUGCAAAUGUUGUGCUGUCUCUUUGAGGUUGUUUGGGGACCAUUUCCUCUUGAUACCACAGAGUCAUUCCUAACUUUUGAGGUCAGUGUUAGGUCAAAAGGUACUGCAUUUAGGCGAGGGAUGGGUCCACCAGUUUCCUGCAAAGACAUAAACUGCACAGUGUUUUUUAAACUUAUGUUUUAAAAUAAAUGCCGAAAAUAAGUAGAUCUUUAUAUAAAUAUAUAUUUAUAAUGUUUCCAUACUCAGCUACAAUUUCCCCUGUGGUUGGAGGGGAGAAAGCAAAGCUAUUGGAGGGAGUAUAAAGCUUUAAAAGCUGAAUUUUCCAGAUAUUUUUAGGUUAAUUACCCAAAGCCUCAUCCAUCCUCAAGAUUUUCAAACUUUAUUUUUUUUUUUGUAAAUGAAUGGGCAUUGUGUUUAUGGAUUUUAAAAAUACGAUUGUUUUAUUUAAAUGCCAUGCUGAGCAGUUGUUCUCUGUUCAUGGUAACCAAAACCUGAAGCGAUUUCGAUCAGUUUUGAUCACUGUUUAGUUAUCCAAAACAUGUACUGUGUACAAAUGAAAUAAUAUGGCAUAUUAGCCAGGUUUCAUGGUUGCCCAAGGCAUUUAAUGGAAGCUCAGUUUUGUAUUUUAUUAAGGCUCCAGCAUAUGCUUGAUCUGAAAUGUGUACAUUUUUGGUGUAUACUUGGUACUAGAGAUUCCUGUAUGCAAAUAUCCUCAUAUAUAAGAAGGCUCAACAUUGUUCGUGCUUUGAAANGCUUUGAAAAAAAAAAAAAAAAAAAA
RNAcentral lists this long non-coding RNA (1458 nucleotides) under Sus scrofa (pig). RNAcentral's name for it is "lncRNA (ENSSSCG00050073670.1)". The record is from RNAcentral. Lineage: Eukaryota; Metazoa; Chordata; Mammalia; Artiodactyla; Suidae.